Molecule: ribosomal RNA, 2037 nt
Filed under: marine metagenome
Description: bacterial LSU rRNA
Rfam family: Bacterial large subunit ribosomal RNA
Source: RNAcentral
GACGUUGAAAAGUCUUGGGAUGACCUGUGGAUAGGGGUGAAAGGCCAAUCAAACUGAGAGAUAGCUCGUUCUCCCCGAAAUGUUUUUAGGAACAGCCUUGGCUAAAGAAGUAUGAUAGAGGUAGAGCUACUGAUUGGGCUAGGGGGCUUCAUCGCCUACCAAACCCUGACAAACUCCGAAUGCUAUCAUAUAUCGCCAGGAGUGAGGCUGUGGGCGCUAAGGUCCAUGGCCGAGAGGGAAAUAACCCAGACUAGCAACUAAGGUCCCCAAUACAUAGUUAAGUUGAUCAAACGAGGUGGGAUUUCUAUAACAGCCAGGAUGUUGGCUUGGAAGCAGCCAUUCAUUUAAAGAGUGCGUAACAGCUCACUGGUCGAGAGAUCCUGCACGGAAAAUAAUCGGGCAUCAAACUAUGAACCGAAGUUCUAGAUUCAAUAUUUAUUUAUUGAGUGGUAGGGGAGCAUUGAAAUCUGCAUCGAAGGUGUGGCGCGAGCCAUGCUGGAGCGAUUUCAAAAGAAAAUGUAGGUAUAAGUAACGAUAAAAGUAGUGAAAAACUACUUCGCCGAAAGUCUAAGGUUUCCUGAUCAACGUUAAUCGGAUCAGGGUUAGUCUGGUCCUUAGGAAAACCCGAAAGGGGCAUCUGAUGGAAAGCUAGUUAAUAUUCUAGCACCUACUAUGCAUUAAAAGUGACGCAGGGACGUGGUUGUUACGAACAGACGGAUGUUCGUUGAGUGGAACCUUCGGGGGAAGCGAAACAAUAAAAUCCCUGCCAAGAAAAGCGAGCAUAGCAGCCAGUACCGGAAUCCGACACAGGUAGACGGGAUGAGUAUUCUAAGGCGCUCGGGUGAGCCGCGGAGAAGGAACUAGGCAAAUUAACGCUGUAACUUCGGGAUAAAGCGUACCGCAGUGAUGCGGUCACAGUAAAUAGGUACAACCAACUGUUUAACAAAAACACAGGGCCCUGCAAAAACGUAAGUUGACGUAUAGAGCCUGAAACCUGCCCGGUGCUGGAAGGUUAAGGAAGGGUGUUCGUCGCAAGACAAAGCUCCUGACUGAAGCCCCAGUAAACGGCGGCCGUAACUAUAACGGUCCUAAGGUAGCGAAAUUCCUUGUCGGGUAAGUUCCGACCUGCACGAAUGGUCUAAUGAGUUGUACACUGUCUCCUCCGCGAGCCCGGUGAAAUUGUAGUAUCGGUGAAGAUGCCGGUUACCCGCCACGGGACGGAAAGACCCCGUGAACCUUCACUACAACUUUGCAUUGAUUUUGAACAACCGAUGUGUAGGAUAGUUGGGAGACUUUGAAGUGGCAUCGCCAGGUGUCAUGGAGUCAUCGUUGAAAUACCAACCUUCGUUUGUUUAGAACCUAAUCCCUAACGGGAGACAGUGCAUGGUGGGUAGUUUGACUGGGGUGGUCGCCUCCUAAAAAGUAACGGAGGCUCGCAAAGGUACCCUCAGUACGGUUGGUAAUCGUACGUAGAGCGCAUUAGUAAAAGGGUGCUUGACUGUGAGACAAACAAGUCGAGCAGGAGCGAAAGCUGGCUAAAGUGAUCCGGUGAUUCUGCAUGGAAGGGUCAUCGCUCAAAGGAUAAAAGGUACUCCGGGGAUAACAGGCUGAUCUUACCCAAGAGCUCAUAUCGACGGUAAGGUUUGGCACCUCGAUGUCGGUUCGUCACAUCCUGGGGCUGGAGAAGGUCCCAAGGGUUCGGCUGUUCGCCGAUUAAAGUGGCACGUGAACUGGGUUCAGAACGUCGCAAGACAGUUCGGUCCCUAUCUGUGGUGGGCGUUAGUAAAUUGAGUGGACAUGCUCUUAGUACGAGAGGACCGGAGCGUACGUACCGCUGGUGUAUCUGUUAUGCCGCCAGGUGUAAUGCAGAGUAGCUAUGUACGGCCAGGAUAAACGCUGAAAGCAUCUAAGCGUGAAACCUUCCACAAGAUGAGUUUACUUUUAAGGGUCGUCAAAGACUAUGACGUUGAUAGGCUAUAGAUGUAAGGCUAGUAAUAGCGAAGUCGAGUAGUACUAAUUGCCCGUAAGCUUUAUUUU